Molecule: long non-coding RNA, 3802 nt
Organism: Homo sapiens (human)
Lineage: Eukaryota; Metazoa; Chordata; Mammalia; Primates; Hominidae
Exons: 5
Source: RefSeq, a predicted model, not a curated record
AUGUGUGUAUAUAUAUACACAUACUGUUAGUUUAUCUGGAUUUAAUAUUUAACAACUUCAAGUAAAAUGUUGAAGACUGGCAACCAUACAGGUUUCUUUACUCUCUCUCUUUAUGUUAUAGUUGUCGUCUGUAUUACAUUUGGAUACAUUGACACCCUCCCAAACAGUGUUACAAUUUUUGCAUUCAAACUUCAUACAUAGUUUCAAUAACUUAAAAACGAAAAGUAUUAUAUAACUAGGUAUUUAUCAUUUCUACGGUUUUUUAUUCAUUCCUGAAGUUUCAAGUUUUCUUCUAGGAACAUUUUUCUUCCACAUUAGCUUCCUUUAGGAAUUUUUCUUAGAUAUAUUGGCAAUGAAUUCUCUUUGUUUUUCUUCAUGUGAGAAUAUCCUUAUUUUACAUUCAUUCCUGAAGGAUAUUUCCACUGCAUAUAGAAUUCUGAGUUGACAUUUUUUUUUUCUUUCAGCACUUUAAGGAUUUUGCUCCCCUGCCUUUAUGGUUUCUGAUGAGGAAUCAUUAGCAUUCACUAGUAUCUGCAGUAUUUGAGUUGUUGCUCUCCUAUGCAAAAUAUAUCGUUUUGCUAUGGCUGCUUUCUAGAUAUUUAUCUUUGGUUUUUGGCAGUUUAAUUUUGAUGUGUGUUAGCAUGGUUUUCUUUGAGUUUAUUUUGUUUGGUUUUUCUAGACUUCUUGAAUCUAUGAAUUUAUGUCUUUUGCGAUAUUUGAGGAAUUUUUGUUCAUUGUUUUGUCAAAUAUUUUGUCUGUCCUGAUAUCUUUCAUCUCUUGUUCAGGGACUCCAGUGAUAUUGAGAUUGUCCCACAGGUUCCGUGGCUAUUUACCUACUUUUAAUCCUUUUUCUCUUUGUUUUACAGGCUAUACAAGAAGAAGCAUGGCACCAGCAUCUGCUUCUGGUGAGCAGCUCAGGCUGCUUCCAUUCCUGGUGGAAGGGAAAGGGGAGCUGACUUGUGCAGAGAUCACUUCCAAGAGGGAAAUCAAGAGAGAGAGAGAAGUUUUGUUCACAUUCUUUGGAAUCAGAAGUGGAAUUCAAGCAACACUGAUUCUUCUCCUGAUGCUGUCCUGAACCAACACAUUGGGAUCUUCAAGGGUCCUUUGAGUUCAGUUGUCUUCUCAGAGAUGCCAGGAAGCCUCAGGUGUAUGCAUGUCUGUUCGUAUGUUGUCUACAUAAUACCAAGUUGACUUCGUUUGUUCGUUCGUGUGUUUUUGUUGAGCUACCGGGCCUGGCCCCACAUUGACUUUUAAAUAAAUAGCAUUGAGUCAUGGAUCCAUAUUUCUCAUUUAAAAAGAAGGCUCUUGAUCCUUCUACCAAGUGAACCGCCCAACUGGUCACUGAUAUCAAGCUCAAGUUAAUCAAACUACAGCCACCAGGACAAGAAGAAGACAACAUCUGGGGUAGACUGCUUUCUCCCAAGAUACCAGAGCAGGCCUGUAUAACCUCUUUCUUAUCUUGAGCUAACAUGCCUAGUCCUUAUGUUUACUUUGCAAUUAUUUUAAUUAUCAUAGCUUUGAGAAUCUUAUGCCUCCUGGGUGUCUUAUGCCACUCUGGGGUAGUUCCAUAUAUUCCACUAUUUAGACACGCCAUGGGACUCACUGCCUUGCUGGACUCUUUAUAAUCCCCUCUUUUUACACCAUGCUGUACUUCUUCCUUGUCCUUUCUUUCUCAACUCUGCUUUUCAGUUCCUCCUACUCGUGGGAAGAUAAUGCCUAGGUACAGCAAUCCCAAUCCUUGCCUCUGCAGGCAACCUAACUGAGUGUUGGAUAUGUCACCUUUCCCCCUGCCGAAGUCAUCGGAGGAAACAGGAAUCCUAUAAUCAUCCCAGUGACCAGCUUCCCUAAUGUGCUCAGUUGCUUGGUACUCCUGUUUGAUCCACUUGCUGUUGCCUAUUGGGUGCAUAUUCAUGCUCCUGAGGUUCAUCCUUGUUUUCUCCUCACUGGUAUAUCCCAUAAAUACCUUCCUAUUACCCUACCUUGCAUUUCCUCCCCUUCUUCUGAAUACUCACCACCCCCCUCCUCUGUGUCUUGCCAAAUCCCAUAGAAACAGAACACUUAGUAACACUUCUCUCUGCAGAAUAUACCAAAGAAAGCUUAAGAGUCUCCUCUAUGGCUCCCCAAAUCUGCCGGUUGGAUCACACCACUCUGUCAUUACCUAAGACAGGUACUUGGUUUGACCACAUACCCUCUCUUGCCUGUAAACAGCUCCUUGAAUUUUCAUAACCUCUCAGGAUAAUUACGUGCCCCUUCAGGCUGUGUUUUUGGCUGCAGCUACGUCAGCCAAAAAGAGUUUUUCUACCCCUGCCUCGGGUCCUGAGAAAACACAGGCAUUUGCUUUCUGGGUCAAGCCAUUGCUCCUGUCACUGUUAUUAAGUCUCUAACUCAGGGAAUGUAGAGUCUACAUCCCAGGGCCAAAAGAGCUCUACCAAUAAUUGAUGACUAUGCUGGUGAUAGCCCCUCAGAUUAUAAAGAUGAUAGCUGUGGAUACUCCUAAGGAUGUGAUUUACCUGGUAGGCUUAACUCUAGUGAAGGAUCUAAAUGGGAAGGGAUUCUGGGGUCCUGGUUUGGGCUAGACCCUGCUUGGAAUGAAUAUAGGAUCAGAAACCUUUCCUGCAUGGUUCGCAGAAUUGCCCACUCCACUGCCUGUACCAUCAGGGCACAACAGAGAUUUCCAGAUUCCCUUGCCCAUGCGAUCCUGCACAACCACAUUGCAUUAGACGGUCUCCUCGUUGCAUGUGGUGGUGUUUAUGCUGUCACUAACACUUCCUGCUGCACCUGGGUAAAUACUUCCAUUCAGGUUGAAUUAGAAGCAUCUGAGAUCCAAAGUUGGCCAAAUCCUACAGCUGGCUGUCUGAAAAGGACACCUUCAGAAAGCCUCCUGGCUGGGCUUGCUGGAUUAGAAUUCCAAUUUCCAGAUAUUUUCAGCCGGCUUCUUCUGGUAUAGGAUUCCUUCUGUGUUCUGCCCUACAAAUUGUAAUGAAUCUCCUUGGGCUAAGCAUUUGGCUCCUCUUUAAAAUCAUUGUAGCCUGCUUUAACAGAUAUCUGCAUGAGACCCUCACCAGGAUCGUGCUGACCCAAGACCUUGAGACUUUAGACUCAUUCCAGCUGGAAACGGAAGCCAGCUUAAGCCAAGAGAUGUUAAUUCAUAUUUAACAGGUGCCUGAGUGCCUCUCAUAAGUAAAUGGCUCUAGUUGCUCAGUUGAUCACUGCCUUGUCAAAGGAUCUCUGCACGGGACUAGAAGAAUCUGGAACAGGUUGCCAGCCACUCUAGCACGAUGAUGGGAUGCAACCAACCUAAUCAAUCAUCAGUGCUGUCUGCUGACAGGUUUUGAUAAACGGGGGGCGUGGGGGGAAUGUGAACCUUGAAAGAGCCAAUCCCUCGGAUGAAUCCUGAGUGGCUAAUAGCCUAAUUUCAAAAGAGCCAAGUGGCCAUUUGCUUACUAGAGGUCGCACACAUACUUGGAGUUCCUGGAAAACCUGCAUGUCUGCUUAGGGGCUUUCAUAGCUGCCUGUUCAUGUUUGUGCUGCCUGAGCCAACCAAUAGACUGUGACCUAUGUCAACCAAUCAGAACUCAGCAAGUGUUGACCAAUCAGAACUCACCAAACAUCAACCGGUCAGAACUAAGCAAGUUUGAAUCCUUUAUUUGACUAAGUGGACCUGAGUGGAACCUGGAUGGGAUCUUUCACUAUAAAAGAAAAACCUUCCCUUUGCUCUCUGGAACGUACCUUCAUUUUACACUGAAGGCUGUGUCUCUUCGGUUUGCCAACUGUUACUGGAAUAAAGUCUCUUUCCUCUAAA